Molecule: non-coding RNA, 99 nt
Organism: Schizophyllum amplum
Lineage: Eukaryota; Fungi; Basidiomycota; Agaricomycetes; Agaricales; Schizophyllaceae
Source: the annotation of a GenBank genome assembly
GGCCGCCUGGCGUAAUGGCAACGCGUCUGACUACGAUUUGUUUGGCUAUUGUGGGCUAAGGUAAUCAGGAGAUUGCAGGUUCGACCCCUGCGGUGGUCA